Molecule: ribosomal RNA, 403 nt
Filed under: uncultured prokaryote
Description: bacterial SSU rRNA
Rfam family: Bacterial small subunit ribosomal RNA
Source: RNAcentral
UAGGGAAUAUUGCUCAAUGGGGGAAACCCUGAAGCAGCAACGCCGCGUGGAGGAUGACACUUUUCGGAGCGUAAACUCCUUUUGUUAGGGAAGAACAAUGACGGUACCUAACGAAUAAGCACCGGCUAACUCCGUGCCAGCAGCCGCGGUAAUACGGAGGGUGCAAGCGUUACUCGGAAUCACUGGGCGUAAAGGACGCGUAGGCGGAUUAUCAAGUCUCUUGUGAAAUCCUAUGGCUUAACCAUGGAACUGCUUGGGAAACUGAUAAUCUAGAGUGAGGGAGAGGCAGAUGGAAUUGGUGGUGUAGGGGUAAAAUCCGUAGAGAUCACCAGGAAUACCCAUUGCGAAGGCGAUCUGCUGGAACUCAACUGACGCUAAUGCGUGAAAGCGUGGGGAGCAAACA